GGGCCGGCCGUGGGCGUGAGGCUGUACUUCCUCCGCCCCCUCCUAAUGGAGCGAACCAUUCCCAGCUAUUCCUCCUCGCCCGCUCCCUGUUUCUCCCUCUUUCUCUCCCUCACCUCCGUCUCCCCCCUUGUGUGCAAAGUCCUCCGCUGCUCGGAACUUGUUGGCAAUGCCUAUUUUUCAGCUUUCCCCCACGUUCUCCAAAGUAACUAUUUAAAGAUCUGCAGUCGCAAAUGGUUUUACUAAAUGUAGGAUGGGACUUAAGUUGAACGGCAGAUACAUUUCUCUGAUCCUCGCUGUACAGAUAGCCCACCUGGUGCAGGCGGUGAGAGCGGCGGGGCGGUGCGAUGCGGUCUUUCGGGGCUUCUCGGACUGUUUGCUGCGGCUGGGCGAUAAUAUGGCCAACUACCCGCAGGACCUGGACGACAAGAGAAACCUGCAAACGAUCUGCGCGUACUGGGACGAUUUCCACGCUUGCACCCUCACAGCGCUCACGGAUUGCCAGGAAGGAGCGACAGACCUGUGGGAGAAACUGAGACGGGAAUCCAAAAACCUCGAUUUCCAGGGCAGUUUGUUCGAACUGUGCGGAGGCGGCAGCGGAGCAGCCCCGUCCCAGCUGCCGCCGUCGCUGCCCGUGCUGCUGGGGGCAUUGGGAGCAGCUCUGGCCACCUGGGGGCUGCCCUUCUAGCGGGGCCAACGCUGCACCCGGAGAGGAGCAUCCGUCCGCGGCUUUGGGGACGUCGUGCUCGGCCGUGGUUGGUGACGGUGGCUGAUGGUGGCGGAACACCCGUGCAGCGGCGUGCAGCCCGAACCGGACCUCAGCUUUACUAUCGCUUCAGAUCAAACAUAGGAGAAAACAAUAUCUAGAGAGAUCGAGGAGCUCGAGCCCCCCCCGGCGUGCACCAGAAAUCUCAGGAACGACUCCGGGCCUCCACCCCGACCCAGAGGUGGGGCCGAGGGGAUGUCCACGCACGCAGCAUCUGGUGAAUAACUCACGGCUUCAUCUGUCCUCCACGGUCGCUUGUUUUAUGGUCAUUCCACUGCAGAAAAAUAAUAAUGAUAACAAGAAGAAAUAAUAAAUAAAAACAACAACAACAAUAAAAAGGGAAUAAUAAUGAAAGUAAUGAUAAUAAAUUAAAAAGAGAGUGUUUUCUUAAGGGGAAACGUUAAAGGAGAAAGGAAGGAAGGAAGGGAAAAGGACGGAGAUGCGUCUCCGCGCCCGCAGGAGUGAAGGAGAGCUGCGGGCAGAGCGCGGUUCCCUUCCGUUGUCUCCGUACGGAGACAUCGGUCAGCACUCACCGACUUUAAUUUCGUCCCCCUCUUUGUUUUAGGUGUCACACGUCCAGCAAACCCCCGAGUAGCCGGCAGCAGGGGUCACUAACGGGAGGGGGGGGUGGGACUCAAAUGGGAACCUAAAGGAAAAAAAAAAAAAGAAAAAAAAUCGACAGCAAAAUGAUUUUGGAAAUAAAUAAGUACGUAAAUGAAUAAACGGGGCCUCGGUUUUAAAAAA
This is an RNA transcript of Tympanuchus pallidicinctus (lesser prairie-chicken), 1507 nucleotides long. It is a transcript of the gene named neuritin 1, with no coding region annotated. The record is from RefSeq and is a predicted model, not a curated record. NCBI's taxonomy places the organism in Eukaryota, Metazoa, Chordata, Aves, Galliformes, Phasianidae. The transcript has 4 exons.